AACUAUUGGAAACGAUAGCUAAUACCGCAUAACAAUGACAAACACAUGUUAGUGAUUUGAAAGGGGCAAAUGCUCCACUAUAAGCUGGACCUGCGUUGUAUUAGCUAGUUGGUAGGGUAAAGGCCUACCAAGGCUGCGAUACAUAGCCGACCUGAGAGGGUGAACGGCCACACUGGGACUGAGACACGGCCCAGACUCCUACGGGAGGCAGCAGUAGGGAAUCUUCGGCAAUGGGGGGAACCCUGACCGAGCAACGCCGCGUGAGUGAAGAAGGUUUUCGGAUCGUAAAGCUCUGUUGUCAGAGAAGAACGGGUGUGAGAGUGGAAAGUUCACACAGUGACGGUACCUGACGAGAAAGGGACGGCUAACUACGUGCCAGCAGCCGCGGUAAUACGUAGGUCCCGAGCGUUGUCCGGAUUUAUUGGGCGUAAAGCGAGCGCAGGCGGCUCUGUAAGUCUGAAGUAAAAGGCAGUGGCUUAACCAUUGUGUGCUUUGGAAACUGCGGGGCUUGAGUGCAGAAGGGGAGAGNGGAAUUCCAUGUGUAGCGGUGAAAUGCGUAGAUAUA
RNAcentral lists this ribosomal RNA (565 nucleotides) under Streptococcus orisasini. RNAcentral describes it as "bacterial SSU rRNA". It matches the Rfam family "Bacterial small subunit ribosomal RNA", at positions 145 to 698 of the family's 1533-position model. Lineage: Bacteria; Bacillati; Bacillota; Bacilli; Lactobacillales; Streptococcaceae. The record is from RNAcentral.